CUCAGAUUAGUCAACAACUGUACUAAAGAAGAGAUAUGUGGCACAACUGAAAAAUUCGAUAAGGAAGUAGAGAAUUAGCAUGACUGAGGAGGCUGAUACUACUGCUGCUGCAUCUACUGAAUGAUCUGUUGUUGAAACUGCUGGAACUGCUGAAGGAGCUACUCCUGGAACUGCUGCUGCUGGAUGGAAAGAAUGCCUACUAUCUGCUCGCUAGCAAUCCCAUCUCAUCCUCUCCCAAUCUAGAUGAUGAUGGCACAACAUGGCUUGUAGACGGAGGCGCACUAACUGAAGGAUCUGCCUUAGGCUCUGACACAAAAUGAAUAUCAAGAUUCGGUCUGGGCUCAGAUGGUGAUGAGGGACCCUCCCCCUCAGCACGCUCCUCCUCCUCCACAACUACAGCACCUCGAUCCUUGGUCCAACGACCAUCCACUCUAAUGAAACCCAUACGUCGAAGAAAAUGAUCAUUGUAAGUGUCAGUGUUCAGCAGUCUGCACAUAGCCUCCCCCUCAAAACUCACACCAAACUAUCUAAAAAUAACUGUCAUGGCCAAGCCUUGGAUCUAUUCAAGGCCUCCCUCAUGACAUCAAUCAUCAGAAACGGGAGAUUCAGCGGAGACUCAGAUAUAAUAUGGUGCAUUAGACAUAUAUCCCGUCCAGUCAUCAGGUCAUAUCUUCUCCCUCUGGGGAAGAAGAUUCUAGAGAUCAUGUGGUAGAGUAGUCUCAUCUCCACACUCAAGUCUUUUGCCUUUAUCUUCAUGAAACCUUCAACAUCAUUUCUCCCUAGGAUGGACCUGAGAUGGACCUGAGUCCAUCCUCUUUCCUGGGAAGCUCGUCAAGACAGCUUCUCUCAUAAGGUAUUUGAAGCAAUCUACCCAACCUUGUAGUAUUCAAGAUAAUCUCAACAUCCUUUACAACAUAUCUUAAAACUCUAUUAUUAAACACUAGAUUUGAGUAAAAUUCUUUAACUAAGUCUAUGUACACUGGCUCAGAUAAGCAACAGAAGAACAUCUAUCCUUGUUUAACUAUCUUCUCUCCAAUUGAAAAACUAUCUCUUUUUAAGAAAUCAAAAUCUAUAUUCCUCCCUAAAGCAAUUUUUCUGG
RNAcentral lists this long non-coding RNA (1099 nucleotides) under Elaeis guineensis (African oil palm). RNAcentral describes it as "long non-coding RNA (EGUI_LNC044911)". Lineage: Eukaryota; Viridiplantae; Streptophyta; Magnoliopsida; Arecales; Arecaceae. The record is from RNAcentral.